GAUGAACGCUGGCGGCGUGCCUAAUACAUGCAAGUCGAGCGAACGGACGAGAAGCUUGCUUCUCUGAUGUUAGCGGCGGACGGGUGAGUAACACGUGGAUAACCUACCUAUAAGACUGGGAUAACUUCGGGAAACCGGAGCUAAUACCGGAUGAUAUUUUGAACCGCAUGGUUCAAAAGUGAAAGACGGUCUUGCUGUCACUUAUAGAUGGAUCCGCGCUGCAUUAGCUAGUUGGUAAGGUAACGGCUUACCAAGGCAACGAUGCAUAGCCGACCUGAGAGGGUGAUCGGCCACACUGGAACUGAGACACGGUCCAGACUCCUACGGGAGGCAGCAGUAGGGAAUCUUCCGCAAUGGGCGGAAGCCUGACGGAGCAACACCGCGUGAGUGAUGAAGGUCUUCGGAUCGUAAAACUCUGUUAUUAGGGAAGAACAUAUGUGUAAGUAACUGUGCACAUCUUGACGGUACCUAAUCAGAAAGCCACGGCUAACUACGUG
This 497-nucleotide ribosomal RNA is filed under the name uncultured bacterium. Its description in RNAcentral is "partial 16S ribosomal RNA". It matches the Rfam family "Bacterial small subunit ribosomal RNA", at positions 28 to 507 of the family's 1533-position model. The record is from RNAcentral.